Molecule: ribosomal RNA, 240 nt
Filed under: uncultured Staphylococcus sp.
Lineage: Bacteria; Bacillati; Bacillota; Bacilli; Caryophanales; Staphylococcaceae
Description: partial 16S ribosomal RNA
Rfam family: Bacterial small subunit ribosomal RNA
Source: RNAcentral
GGACGGGUGAGUAACACGUGGAUAACCUACCUAUAAGACUGGGAUAACUUCGGGAAACCGGAGCUAAUACCGGAUAAUAUUUUGAACCGCAUGGUUCAAAAGUGAAAGACGGUCUUGCUGUCACUUAUAGAUGGAUCCGCGCUGCAUUAGCUAGUUGGUAAGGUAACGGCUUACCAAGGCAACGAUGCAUAGCCGACCUGAGAGGGUGAUCGGCCACACUGGAACUGAGACACGGUCCAG